GGGGCUGAUAUAGCAUUCGACAAACGGACAUUAACAGGAUAUAUUGCAGGUCGUUUUACUGACGUAUAAGUUUUUAAUUGCAAACCCAAUUGCAAAAGCAUACAACAAGGCUAAGGAAGUAGUUGCUAACGCACUUACUCCACAAAGUCUUGCUGUUGCAACAGCUUAAUACAUUAAGCCAUCUAUACAAGUAGGUAGCAUAAGUUGUAAUAGGUGUCAUAUUCAUGCUACUUGUCUUGGUUAAGGUCAGCAGCUUAAUCAAGAGACCCACUCUGCGCACGAAGUAUACUAUGAGUGUUAAUGAUCGAGGUAUGCAACGUGUAAAAAUUAACCACAUUAACUAUUCCUGUAGACAUAUAUUCAGUUACCGUUUGGACCCGGGGGCAGUACCCGGCAGCUCCACCA
Molecule: transfer-messenger RNA, 405 nt
Filed under: Candidatus Saccharimonadota bacterium
Lineage: Bacteria; Candidatus Saccharimonadota
Also listed under: 1 other name
Rfam family: transfer-messenger RNA
About the family: Bacterial tmRNA, also known as 10Sa RNA or SsrA, is named for its dual tRNA and mRNA-like properties. Its role is to liberate the mRNA from a stalled ribosome.
Source: RNAcentral